UACGAAGGGGGCGAGCGUUGUUCGGAUUUACUGGGCGUAAAGGGCGCGCAGGCGGUUCUGUUUGUCGAGUGUGAAAGCCCCGGGCUCAACCUGGGAACUGCGCUCGAAACGGCAGAACUAGAGUUCGGGAGAGGAGAGUGGAAUUCCCAGUGUAGAGGUGAAAUUCGUAGAUAUUGGGAAGAACACCGGUGGCGAAGGCGGCUCACUGGCCCGGUACUGACGCUGAGGUGCGAAAGCGUGGGGAGCAAACAGG
RNAcentral lists this ribosomal RNA (253 nucleotides) under uncultured bacterium. RNAcentral describes it as "partial 16S ribosomal RNA". It matches the Rfam family "Bacterial small subunit ribosomal RNA", at positions 524 to 776 of the family's 1533-position model. The record is from RNAcentral.